Molecule: ribosomal RNA, 484 nt
Filed under: Pythia scarabaeus
Lineage: Eukaryota; Metazoa; Mollusca; Gastropoda; Ellobiida; Ellobiidae
Description: partial 16S ribosomal RNA
Rfam family: Bacterial large subunit ribosomal RNA
Source: RNAcentral
UCGCCUGUUUAUCAAAAACAUAGCCUUAUGCUUAGAUAUAAGGUAAGCCCUGCCCAGUGAUAAGUUCAACGGCCGCAGUACCCUGACUGUGCUAAGGUAGCGUAAUCAGUUGGCUUUUAAAUGGAGUCGAGAAUGAAUGGGACAAUGGGGAUCAGCUGUUUCUAAUCUGGUAAUUUGAAUUUAAUUAGAAGGUGAAAAUCCCUUCGGUAAGAAGAAAGACGAGAAGACCCUUAGAAUCUAAGCCAGCCUCAAUUAUCCUGAAUUGAAGAGCUUUUGUUGGGGCGACAACGGGGCAGAGUCAACCCCCGGCCUUAGGGGGCACAGGACGAUCUUAGUAAGCAAGAGAAGGUUACCUUAGGGAUAACAGCAUAAUUUAUUAAAGUUUGUGACCUCGAUGUUGGACUAGGGACCUUACGACUAGCCGUCGAUCUGGAAGGUUCUGUUCGAACCUCAAACCCCUACAUGAUCUGAGUUCAGACCGGAU